This is a non-coding RNA of Acanthosepion pharaonis, 97 nucleotides long. NCBI's taxonomy places the organism in Eukaryota, Metazoa, Mollusca, Cephalopoda, Sepiida, Sepiidae. The record is from the annotation of a GenBank genome assembly.
UCUAACACAGGGUCUCAUUCGAUCACCGAAGUUAAGCAACGUCGAGCGUCGUCAGUAUCUAGAUGGGUGACCGCUUCGGAAGACAGAGUACUGUAAG